ACCCGGGGGCCGUAGUGUUUACUAGUGGCUUCUCUCCCGAAAGCAAGUAGACGGUGGGUGAACAAAUUACCGUCGAACAAUUGAUAGAACCGCGCAAAGUCGUGAGGAUAUCUAUGCAAUGAUUAUAUCUAUAGGCAUCACGUGCAAAACAAGUAGACCGAUACUUUCUGCAUCUACUACUAUUACUCCACACGUCGACCGCUAUCCAGCAUGCAUCUAGUGUAUUAAGUCCAUAAGAACAGAGUAAUGCCUUAAGCAAGAUGACAUGAUGUAGAGGGAUAAUCUCAAACUAAUGAUAAAACCUCAUCUUUUUACCCUUGAUGGCAAUUACUUGAUGUGUGCCUUGCUGCCCCUACUGUCACUGGAAAAGGUCACCACAUGGUAGAACCCAAAACCAAGCAUUUCUCCCAUUGCAAGAAUCAUAGAUCUAGUUGGCCAAACAAAAUCCAAGACUCGGAGAGACUUACAAGGAUAUCAAAUCAUGCAUAUAAGAAAUCAGCAAAUACUCAAAUAUAUAUCAUAGAUAAUCUGAUCACAAAUCCAUAAU
RNAcentral lists this long non-coding RNA (547 nucleotides) under Hordeum vulgare. Its description in RNAcentral is "long non-coding RNA (HVUL_LNC019538)". The record is from RNAcentral. Lineage: Eukaryota; Viridiplantae; Streptophyta; Magnoliopsida; Poales; Poaceae.